UACGUAGGGUGAGAGCGUUGUCCGGAAUUACUGGGCGUAAAGAGCUCGUAGGUGGUUUGUCGCGUUGUUCGUGAAAACUCACAACUCAAUUGUGGGCGUGCGGGCGAUACGGGCAGACUGGAGUACUGCAGGGGAGACUGGAAUUCCUGGUGUAGCGGUGGAAUGCGCAGAUAUCAGGAGGAACACCGGUGGCGAAGGCGGGUCUCUGGGCAGUAACUGACGCUGAGGAGCGAAAGCGUGGGGAGCGAACAGG
Molecule: ribosomal RNA, 253 nt
Filed under: uncultured bacterium
Lineage: Bacteria
Description: partial 16S ribosomal RNA
Rfam family: Bacterial small subunit ribosomal RNA
Source: RNAcentral